UCUUAGUCUCGUCGAGCGUUUAACGCAGGUAAAGCGUUUAAAUUUUCUUUUCUUGGCAACCCAAAUUGUGGGAAAAGUCUGAUAUAAAAUAUGUGCGCCAAUAACAAGGGUCGUAGCAUAAAAAUGAAAUGAAAAAAAUCAGUAUACUUUAUUGUUUUACGGGUAUCGAAUUGCCUUUUGCAUAACAUCAAUAUAAAUUGUGAAAUAAAAUGACUUAGCAUCAGACGCCUUGCAAGGGGUAUUAUAUGUUAUUUUCUAACAAAUUGUGCAAUAUAUUUUGGGGAUUGCUUUAAGAAUUAAAUAAGGCUUCGAUUAAAUUUAAUUCACAAUUUAGGUGACAGUCUGUUAAAUUCAAGACACUUUGCCAGAGCCAAUUAAAUGCAUGGAAUUUGCAUAUUUGAUAAGCACUUGGUCAACUAAUUAGUGGAAUUUACAGCUACGAGUGCGAGUGCUCGCAUAAAAUCAAGUUAUUAUUCGAAUUGAUGCAGUCCGAGAUAACAAGACAAAAGUGAGCAACUGAACAUUAAAAUUCAAAAGUAAAUAGCUAACGAAUCAAAGAAAUGGCCAGAAAUAGAAUUGAAAUUCAAAACCAUAAAACCAAAAAGUGAGCAAGUUUCUGGCAGAGCGGAAAACAUUCGGGAAAGUUAAUAAAGCCAAGGAUAAGCACUCCAGCUCUGCCCUGAUGACAACUUGACGUAGCAGAAGCUGAAGCAGCCACAGUAGCAUCAUCAUCAACAUCUCAUCUCAUCAUCUCGCAACCGCAGAGCUCAGUGAUGCGACAAGCUGAGGACGCGAAAGGCGGGUUUAUUUUUAUUUUUUUAAUAAGUCAAAAGAAAAUAAGUAAGUAUGAAGUCAUUCCCGUUGCCAACUGUCAACACAGCUCUGAUGAUGAAGAUGAAGAAGGCAGUUGUUGUUAUGGUGAAGGAAUUUUCUACAAUUUCGUGACAGAUCAACGCCUUUUAGAUUUCGCUGAAGUAAUUUAAUAUAUGCAACUGUCACAGCUACAAACUCAAUCAAAUAAACGUGAAUAUGCGAGUCGA
Molecule: long non-coding RNA, 1040 nt
Organism: Drosophila nasuta
Lineage: Eukaryota; Metazoa; Arthropoda; Insecta; Diptera; Drosophilidae
Exons: 2
Source: RefSeq, a predicted model, not a curated record